UAAAUUGAAUAGGGCUUGGGUGUUUUUACUUAAUAGGGAAUCGGAUAAACCGAGCUACCCCAGUAACCGUAUCACUGACGAAAUCUGAUUAUGCCACUGCGCAAGCGGGAAGGUAAGAAAGUAGGAUGAAGUGGAGCCGGGAGACCUGCCUAAGUCUGGUUGGCCAA
RNAcentral lists this non-coding RNA (167 nucleotides) under Lutispora thermophila. The record is from RNAcentral. RNAcentral also lists the same sequence under 1 other name. Lineage: Bacteria; Bacillati; Bacillota; Clostridia; Lutisporales; Lutisporaceae.